Molecule: non-coding RNA, 72 nt
Organism: Octopus bimaculoides (California two-spot octopus)
Lineage: Eukaryota; Metazoa; Mollusca; Cephalopoda; Octopoda; Octopodidae
Source: Rfam
GUCAGUUUAGCUUAAUGGUAAAGCACUGGACGCGUAGUCACAGGGAUAUGAGUUCGAGUCUCAUGGCUGGCC